AGAGUUUGAUCCUGGCUCAGGAUGAACGCUAGCGGCAGGCUUAAUACAUGCAAGUCGAGGGGCAGCAAGGGUAGCAAUACCUGUUGGCGACCGGCAAACGGGUGCGGAACACGUACACAACCUUCCUUAAGGUGGGAGAUAGCCCAGAGAAAUUUGGAUUAAUACCCCAUAAUAUAUUUUGAUUGCAUAAUUGGAAUAUUAAAGAUUUAUUGCCUUGAGAUGGGUGUGCGUAUGAUUAGGUAGUUGGUUGAGGUAACGGCUCACCAAGCCUUCGAUCAUUAACUGGUGUGAGAGCACGACCAGUCACACGGGCACUGAGACACGGGCCCGACUCCUACGGGAGGCAGCAGUAAGGAAUAUUGGUCAAUGGACGCAAGUCUGAACCAGCCAUGCCGCGUGAAGGAUGACGGCCCUCUGGGUUGUAAACUUCUUUUAUCUGGGACGAAAAAGGGCCUUUCUAGNGUCAACUGACGGUACCAGAGGAAUAAGCACCGGCUAACUCCGUGCCAGCAGCCGCNGUAAUACGGAGGGUGCAAGCGUUAUCCGGAUUCACUGGGUUUAAAGGGAGCGCAUGCGGGCUGGUAAGUCAGUGGUGAAAGCCUUGAGCUUAACUCGAGAACUGNCAUUGAUACUAUCAGUCUUGAAUAUUGUNGAGGUUUGCGGAAUGGGUCAUGUANCGGUGAAAUGCAUAGAUAUG
RNAcentral lists this ribosomal RNA (697 nucleotides) under uncultured bacterium. Its description in RNAcentral is "bacterial SSU rRNA". It matches the Rfam family "Bacterial small subunit ribosomal RNA", at positions 8 to 698 of the family's 1533-position model. The record is from RNAcentral.